Molecule: unclassified non-coding RNA, 1831 nt
Filed under: Portunus trituberculatus (swimming crab)
Lineage: Eukaryota; Metazoa; Arthropoda; Malacostraca; Decapoda; Portunidae
Description: oxysterol-binding protein-related protein 11-like, transcript variant X7
Source: RNAcentral
UGAAGGGCGAAAACAGCUGACCACCAACCAGCAGGUGACGGAGGAAGACAACUGAGGGUGGUGGGCCGCCGCUGCCCAAGGGAACAUUUCACGCUCUUAUUACCCUGCCUAAGCUAUGAAACUGAAGGACGUGGAGAUGGAUGAACACCUGCGGCAGCCAUACGAGGGUCAGCUGAUCAAGUUCACCAAUGUGGUGAAAGGCUGGCAGGGACGCUGGUUCAUCCUCAAUCCUGAGAUUGGAACUCUCGAAUAUUAUCUAAGUGAGAGUGACAAGCAUGAGAGGGCACGCGGCUGCAUUCAGUUGGCGGGUGCUGUUAUUUCUCCCAGUGAUGAGGAUCCCUACACUUUCACUGUGUCACCAGCUGCCGGGGAGUCUUACAAGCUUCGGGCGGUGGACACCAGGGACCGCCAGAUGUGGCUGAACAGACUCAGAGUUGUUGCUGAGAUGCACACCCGUGCUAUUGCUCAUAAUCAUCCUCCUUUGGCACCCCGGGAGCAUCGGACUGCUGGAGGAGGGGUGGGUGGGGGUGGGCAGCAGGUAGGAGCUCCGGCCCCUAUGGGUUUGGCAGUGCUGGAUGCCUUUACACAGGUAGCUGAGGUUUUAGAGGAAGCAAGGAGGCAGCAUAGUGCACUUGCAACAGCUAUUGAGGAUAUGCCUUCCUAUGGUACUGGCAUGAAGUGUACAGAUCCAAACCUGCUCCUCCUGAAGGCUACAAGUCAGGCUACACUCCUAUGCCUUGACCAGUGCCUUGGAGUGUUGAGGACACAGCACAUGUCUGCUCCCCAUCACCAUCCCUCCCCACCAGUCACCAGCGUAAGGGUGGGGGGCCUGGGAGCACGUUCCUCUCCCCGCUGUUCCCCCCUCCUGGGACGCUCCCCUCGCUUCCACCGCCGCACUGCUUCGGAAGCCUCCUCGGCAUCCAUCCAGCGGCGGCGGUCCUCUCCCACUGCCACCCGUCUUGGCUCUCCGUCCCUGCGUUCGUCCUCACCAUCACUGAGGGCAAGAACUGCUCCACACUCCCCAACGCCUGGCUCCUCCCAGGGAUUCAGUGGCCACCCCUUGACUGGCAUUACGGGACAACCAGUGGCAUCAUUCACUGCAAGCUCCAGUGUGUGUCAGCCACCAGGAGAAGGCCAGGGCAGUAACAACUCCUGUUCCUCAUCACUUGCUUCUGUUACCUCCACGCCUACACCACCACCAACACUACUCUCACGAACAGGGACAAGUGAAAAUGAGUCUGAGGUGAGUGAUGAGGAAGGUCCAGGUGGUGAAGGAGACUUGGGUGAAGUUGGGGAUGGGCAGCGAUCUGUCAUUAUGCAUAUCAUCUCUCAACUCCGCCUGGGCAUGGACCUCACACGAGUCACUCUUCCAACAUUCAUUCUGGAACGCCGAUCCCUCCUUGAGAUGUUUGCUGACUUUCUUGGACAUCCAGACUACUUUGUUAGAAUCGGGGAUGCCAGCACCCCUGAGGAACGUAUGCAGGAGGUGGUAAAGUGGUAUCUUACCAGCAUCCAUGUUGGCCGGAAUGGGUCAGUGGCCAAGAAGCCGUACAACCCUAUUAUUGGUGAGGUCUUCCACUGCAGCUGGAAGGUUCCUCGUGACAACUGCCCUGCCUUGACCAUGGGUCCAACCAGCCUGGGACCCCAAAUCACCAUGAGUGUCACUCCAGUGACCCCCACAGGAUGGAGAUGAUGUCAUUGAUGGUCGGACAGAUAGCAGGAAGUACAUCACAAUCAAAUUUUCAGCUGAGCAGGUCUCACAUCAUCCACCAGUGUCAGCUUUCUUCUUUGAGUGCCCUGAGAAGCAGUUAAGCAUCAAUGCCCACAUAUG